CAGCAAUGCGUGGCAUACGGCUCAGUAACACGUAGUCAACAUGCCCAGGGGACGUGGAUAACCUCGGGAAACUGAGGAUAAACCGCGAUAGGCCAAGGUUUCUGGAAUGGACACUGGCUGAAACCUAUAUGGCCCCUGGAUUGGACUGCGGCCGAUCAGGCUGUUGGUGAGGUAAUGGCCCACCAAACCUGUAACCGGUACGGGCUUUGAGAGAAGGAGCCCGGAGAUGGGCACUGAGACAAGGGCCCAGGCCCUAUGGGGCGCAGCAGGCGCGAAAAUUCUGCAAUAGGCGAAAGCUUGACAGAGUUACUCUGAGUGAUGCCCGCUAAGGGCAUCUUUUGGCACCUCUAAAAAUGGUGCAGAAUAAGGGGUGGGCAAGUCUGGUGUCAGCCGCCGCGGUAAUACCAGCACCCCGAGUGGUCGGGACGAUUAUUGGGCCUAAAGCAUCCGUAGCUUGUUCUGCAAGUCUUCCGUUAAAUCCACCUGCUCAACAGAUGGGCUGCGGGAGAUACUACAGGGCUAGGAGGCGGGAGAGGCAAGCGGUACUCAGUGGGUAGGGGUAAAAUCCUCUGAUCCACUGAAGACCACCAGUGGCGAAGGCGGCUUGCCAGAACGCGCUCGACGGUGAGGGAUGAAAGCUGGGGGAGCAAACCGGAUUAGAUACCCGGGUAGUCCCAGCUGUAA
This 684-nucleotide ribosomal RNA is filed under the name uncultured Nitrososphaerota archaeon. RNAcentral describes it as "bacterial SSU rRNA". It matches the Rfam family "Archaeal small subunit ribosomal RNA", at positions 69 to 756 of the family's 1478-position model. Lineage: Archaea; Thermoproteati; Nitrososphaerota. The record is from RNAcentral.